This 579-nucleotide ribosomal RNA is filed under the name Triticum aestivum (bread wheat). RNAcentral's name for it is "partial small subunit ribosomal RNA". The record is from RNAcentral. Lineage: Eukaryota; Viridiplantae; Streptophyta; Magnoliopsida; Poales; Poaceae.
AUGUAUCCAGUGGCUUGGGCAGUUGUUGAGCAGGAAACAAAAGAGAGCUGGAAGUGGUUUGUUGUCUUGCUUAUCAAGGAUCUAGACAUUAACAAUAAUGGAGCUGGCUGGGUCUUCAUUUCUGAACAGCAAAAGGGUUUGAUUAAUGCCAUGAGGGAUUAUCUGCCAAAUGCAGAGCACAGGCAGUGUGCUAGACAUAUCUAUGCCAAUUGGAGGAAGAAGCAUAGGGCACAUGAAUGGCAGAAAAAAUUCUGGGCAGUGGCCAAAGCAUCUAACAGACAAGAUUUCAACUACUACAAAGCAAAGCUAACACAAGAAACACCAGAGGGUGCAAAGGAUAUCAUGAACACAGAGCCAGGACACCGGGCAAGAGCAUUUUUUGCAGUUGGUUCUUUCUAUGAGUCAGUUGACAACAACUUGUGUGAAUCUUUCAAUCAUGCCAUCAUUGAAGCAAGGUUCUAUCCCUUAAUCUCAAUGCAAGAGAAGAUCAGAAAGAAAAUUCUAGCUAGAAUUCAGGACAAAGGGAGAAAGGAGCAAGGUUUCAUGGGAAAAUAUGUCCAAGCAUAUUUAAGAAGUUGA